GUCCAGUUGAAGAGUCCCGAAUAGGACAAAAUGCGCAUCCUGAAU
RNAcentral lists this non-coding RNA (45 nucleotides) under Trichobilharzia regenti. The record is from RNAcentral. Lineage: Eukaryota; Metazoa; Platyhelminthes; Trematoda; Strigeidida; Schistosomatidae.